AGAAACGGCUACCACAUCCAAGGAAGGCAGCAGGCACGCAAAUUACCCACUCCCGGCUCGGGGAGGUAGUGACGAAAAAUAACAAUACCGGACUCUUCCGAGGCUCGGUAAUUGGAAUGGGUACACUUCAAAUCCUUUAACGAGUAUCUAUUGGAGGGCAAGUCUGGUGCCAGCAGCCGCGGUAAUUCCAGCUCCAAUAGCGUAUAUUAAAGUUGCUGCGGUUAAAAAGCUCGUAGUUGGAUCUCAGUCUCGGUCGGACGGUCCGCUUUAUAGUGGUACUGGACGAAUCGGACAUUCAGCCGCCUUUCUCAGUAUGCUCUUUACUGAGUGUAUUGGGACAGUGGCGCUUUCACUUUGAAAAAAUUAGAGUGCUCAAAGCAGGCUCACGCCUGAAUCUUCGUGCAUGGAAUGAUGGAAUAGGGCCUCGGUUCUAUUUUGUUGGUUUCCGGAACUCGAGGUAAUGAUUAAGAGGGACGGACGGGGGCAUUCGUAUUGCGACGUUAGAGGUGAAAUUCUUAGAUCGUCGCAAGACGAACUACUGCGAAAGCAUUUGCCAAGAGUGUUUUCAUUAAUCAAGAACGAAAGUCAGAGGUUCGAAGGCGAUCAGAUACCGCCCUAGUUCUGACCAUAAACGAUGCUGACUAGCGAUCCGUCGGCGUUACAACACAUGACCCGACGGGCAGCUUCCGGGAAACCAAAGUCUUUAUGUUCCGGGGGAAGUAUGCGUUGCAAAACUGGAACUUAAAGGAAUUGACGGAAGGGCACCACCAGGAGUGGAGCCUGUGGCUUAAUUUGACCCAACACGGGAAAUCUCACCAGGCACGGACACUAGCAGGAUUGACAGAUUGAUAGCUCUUUCUUGAUUUGGUGGGUGGUGGUGCAUGGCCGUUCUUAGUUGGUGGAGUGAUUUGUCUGGUUAAUUCCGAUAACGAACGAGACCUCGUCCUACUUACUAGACCGAGGAUCCUCUCGUUCUCGCGUCUUCUUAGAGGGACAAAUGAUUUUACCUUGAACUACAUGAAAUGGGGCAAUAACAGGUCUGUGAUGCCCUUAGAUGUUCUGGGCUGCACACGCGCUACACUGAAGGGAUCAUCGUGUUAACUAGCUCGAGAGAGCUUGUCAACCCGUUGAAUUCUCUUCGUGCUAGGGAUUGAGGCUUGCAAUUGUUUCUCAUGAACGAGGAAUUCCCAGUAAGUGCAAGUCAUAAGCUUGCGCUGAUUACGUCCCUGCCCUUUGUACACACCGCCCGUCGCUACUACCGAUUGGAUGAUUUAGUGAGGACUUCGGACUGGCUGCUCGUGGGGUAAAACCUGCAAGCGGAUCGGGAAGAUGUUCAAACUGUAUCAUCUAGAGGAAGUAAAAGUCGUAACAAGGAU
Molecule: ribosomal RNA, 1376 nt
Filed under: metagenome
Description: SSU rRNA
Rfam family: Eukaryotic small subunit ribosomal RNA
Source: RNAcentral